RNAcentral lists this ribosomal RNA (332 nucleotides) under Micromelo scriptus. Its description in RNAcentral is "partial large subunit ribosomal RNA". It matches the Rfam family "Archaeal large subunit ribosomal RNA", at positions 2007 to 2621 of the family's 2987-position model. The record is from RNAcentral. Lineage: Eukaryota; Metazoa; Mollusca; Gastropoda; Aplustridae.
GCCGCGGUACUUUGACCGUGCUAAGGUAGCAUAAUCAGUUGACUUUUAAUUGAAGUCUGGAAUGAAUGGAUAAAUGGGGGUCAGCUGUCUCCAUAAAAUUUUAUUGAACUUACUUUUAAGGUGAAAAAGCCUUAACUUAAUAAAAAGACGAGAAGACCCUAGGAGCUUUAUAAUUAUUUUGUUGGGGCGACAAGGGAAAAUAUAUAGAAUAAUCUUCCCUUAAUGGUUUUUUAUACAAGACGAGUAUCUAAGAAAGAAAAAGCUACCCUAGGGAUAACAGCAUAAUUUAUUAAUUAAGAUUGUGACCUCGAUGUUGGACUAGGAAUUAGAUA